Molecule: long non-coding RNA, 650 nt
Organism: Branchiostoma floridae (Florida lancelet)
Lineage: Eukaryota; Metazoa; Chordata; Leptocardii; Amphioxiformes; Branchiostomatidae
Exons: 5
Source: RefSeq, a predicted model, not a curated record
UUUUGAUGAUCCAAACUGAUACGCAUAGGCCCAAAAUAUCUCGCCACGUAUACGUCGGUACGAAAUCAUCUGCUAUGUUUAUGCUAUUCUAAGCGGGAGAUUUGCUCGGAUUUGUUGACAGAGGUAAAUUUGAACUCGUACAUUUUGUCACGUAUUUUAUGAACGUUUAAGAUAACAGAGAAAAAGAAUAGACCAACUGGUUGGUGAGAAGGUAGUGGCGAGCUUUGCAUGAAUUUGAAAAAUAUAGGGGCGGUCGGUGGAAAAAAAAGAAGAAAAAAUUGCAAAAAGUCUGGUGAACUUAAUAUAUAACACAAAACUACAAGGAGCUGGCCUUGUGUCCACGCUAACUCGGAAUGGAGUCUUGGCAUUGGCAUACUCCGGCAGUCCCUUCAAGAUAACAUCACCUACAGGCUGAACAUGAAGAGGCAGAGUCUCGCUCACACCAUCCCCGUGGACAUCAAUGGCGUCCAUGUUGAACACUUUGCAUGGGAAUGGGCUCCCUAUGGCAGCAACAUUGAGGAAGACCACCGUGUCGGAUGUGGGCGUUGUAGGUUCCAAGUUCAUUGGCGAGGAAAGUCAUCAAAUGACGCCCGUCAUCCGCCUUCCACAGCUCGGAGGGAACCUUGUCCCCAUCCUUGCUGAUUUCUCCG